UAAAUAGAUACUUGAAUCUUGGGUUUUCAAGAUGUUGAUGAAUAAUGUAACAAAAGAAAAAAAGAAAAAACAUGUUGAUGAAUAAAUAAAUUUCUGUGUGUGGAUCGUUUGAAGCAGUCUUGUUUGUUAUGCUUGUACCGGGAAUCUCGUUGGCUUUAUGGUUUGUCUCCUAGACUUAUUGACGUUGGUGAAUGAUGGUGGGCAUUAAAUAAUUUGUCAAGAUGCUGAUCGAAUUAGACUUCUUUCUUUGUUCCAUUGUGUCUAUUGUCUAAACCACAUCAAGGCACAUACAUCUCCCUCGGAUCUAAUCCUACCCACCCACAUUGACCUGCUCGAUCUCUCAGAUCUUCAUAGCUUCGAUUCGAUCCCAGCGGGGCGAGAUUGGAGAGCUUGAUUGGACUGGUCAACCAAAUCCAGCGAGCCUGCACCGCUCUCGGCGAUCACGGCGGCGAGGGCAUGUCUCUCUGGGUAGCUUUCCCCUCCAUUGCCGUCAUCGGAGGCCAGGUUUUCCACUCCCACCUUCUUAUAUCAACUUGUUGUGUAUAACAGAGUUCGGGAAAGUCUUCGGUUUUGGAAAGCGUUGUGGGGAGAGAUUUCAGCCUAAUUCAUCUGUUUACACUUUAAUGUUGUGGACAGGGCUGAGCGUUUGUUUUGUGAAAUGUUGGAAGAUGGGGUUCGGCGUAAUUUCGGUUUACACUUAAAUGAUAGAUGGCCAUUCCAAGAAAGGAAAUGUAGGUGAGGCCAUGAAUUAUAUGAGUAAAAUGCAGGAUGGAGGGGUUAGGACUUAGGGUUAGUCUUGAUGCGGCUGCAUAUGGAGUGAUGAUCUCAGACCUCUGUAAUAACGGUCAGUUUGAUAAUGCGAUGCGGGUUGUUACAGAUUCGGCCAUGAGUGGUUUUUUCUCCAGAUAAGAUGUUGUUGACGACCAUUAUGUAUGCAUGUUUCAAAGCUGGCAAUUUGAAAGCAGGUUUGGGUGUCUACAGAUUGUUAGCGAAGGGUUUUGAACCUGAUGCUGUGGUGCUUUCAGCUUUGAUGGACGGCUUAUGCAAGCCUGGGCAUUUGGAGGAGGCAAGAGGCUACUUUUGCAAGGAAAAGGCUAAUGAAAUUUCAUAUACUGUGCUCAUUGAUGGGAUGUGUAAGGAAGCAAACUUUAGUGAAGUUGAGACGAUCUUCAGUGAGAUGUCCAAGAUGGGGUUUAUUCCAGACAAAUAUGUAUACACUUCUUGGAUUGCUGGGCUAUGCAGACAGGGUAAUAAAAUGGUCGAGGCUUUUAGACUCAAGAAUAAAAUGGUUAAAGAGAGCAUCACAUCAGACCUGAUCUGUUAACUUAUAGCUCACUUAUUUUUUUGGUUUAGCAAGGGACUCAUGGUUGAAUCACAACAGGUUUUCGAUGAUAUGUUGAAAAGAGAAAUUACUCCUGACUGUCACGUCUUUGGUAUUCUGAUAAGAGGGUAUUGUGAUGAGGGUAAUGAUGUUGCCAUGCAUUUUAGGUUUGCACGAUGAAAUGAGAAAGAGAGGGCUUGUGGUCACAGGAGGUAAAGGAGAUGGAGAGCAUUGAUUUGUGAUAGCAUGUAAGGCUCCACAAGACCCAAGGACUUUGCAGGGUGUUCCAUAAAGAAACUUGCUGUCAUGUAGCGCAGGCACACCCUGCACUGCUAUCCAUAAGAAAGUCGUCUUCAAGAGGGAAAGCUGGCUCAGUUCUUGCAAUUAUGGAAUUAUUGGAAUGUUUCAUCUGCGGUCCUCGCAUUGGUGUGGAGCAAUUAAGGACCUCCAGUUAUAUGUGCCUCGUUCUGUGACAGGGCCUUCAAGGCUUGUGCCGAGGCGUACAACUUGAGGGAUGCAAUAACACAGCACGGUUGUGGUAGGCAUCUGAGUGGAUCCAUAAUGACCCAGAGUUAUGCCAUGCUGAGGGGUUUGCUGUUAAAGAUUAUACAUCUGAGAGCAUGGAAGAAACACUUAUUUGCUAUGGUGUUUAAACUUAAAACCCAGUGUGAUUUGAGUGCAGAUUCAUGGAAGGGUCUCAUAGUCCAAGGUGCCACAGAAACUUGAGAGCUUGAGGCUGUGGGAGAAAUUCCAGUAGAGAGUGAGGAAAUGCCAAUCAGCUCCAUGAACAAGCUGCAUGUUUUACAUGUUUUACCAUUAUCUACUAAGAAACUUGAAGCCAAGAUGGAGCAGAAAUCUUCUAAUGUCAAUUUACAAGAGCUGUAUCCAUAUUGUAUUAGCUCUUUUCUCAUGGCAGUGAAUCAUUAGUUUUCUGUUCACUGUUUAACAGAAACUUGGGCUUCCAAUGAACCAUAGAAUCUGAAUUGAUUGAGAUUUUGGGUA
Rosa rugosa (rugosa rose) is the source of this 2323-nucleotide long non-coding RNA. RefSeq lists it as uncharacterized. NCBI's taxonomy places the organism in Eukaryota, Viridiplantae, Streptophyta, Magnoliopsida, Rosales, Rosaceae. The transcript has 2 exons. The record is from RefSeq and is a predicted model, not a curated record.